AGAAUAUAUCGCCCACAGCUUGAGAACUACCUUUGCAAAGGUGUGCCAUAUUUUUGUCACAAGCCAAUCAGAGCAGACUGGGCUUUUUCUGGAGGAAGUCUUAAAGACACAGGCACUAAAACCGAACAUUUCAGACAGAGAGUGAAUAUAGGUAUAUUCAGACAGACCGUAUGAGAACAAUAAUGUGUUUUUUGAACAUUAAAGCAUGUAAACAUGUUCUAGUAGAAACUCAAAAUACAAGUAUGAACCUGAAAAUGAGCAUUUUUCUGGAAGGUUUUUCUGGUUUUCUAUUUUUUUUUUGAACGACUGAUCAAUUUAGUGUCCGGUAUUUGCAGCACUACACACAAUACAACCAACUGUAAUAUGUGUAUCAUAAAAGAUGCAAUAUUCCAGUCAGCAUCCGUACAUUUGUCUGAAUGGCUCCAGUGUGAUGUGUCUGUCAUCCUAUCCCAGUGUAAUUCAGCUCUGUGUGUGUUAUAUAAUAUCACAGCACAUACCACGUCCCUCUGAAGGUCUUUCCAGGUUAGAAAAUGUAGGUUGAAUGUUAGUGGGAGGACUGCUCUUAUCAGCAGUGUGUGCGCCAGGUGUCUCUGUGCUGUCAGGCUCAUAAAGAGAAGGUCAAAGGUUUAUAAUGUACAACGCCCACCUCCAUCCAGGCAGGUGUGGUGAUGUCAUCCAUCCAUCUCCUCCUGUUUUCCUCACACAGUUUAUCAGAACUGACUCAGACACAAAGUCCAAUAAUCAUGAAUGUUGGUUUUGCUUGAGAAAAUCAUCUCAAAGUCAUCUGACUCCACAAAUGUCUGCAUGUAGGGGUAACCCAUCAAACCAAUCACAGCUCUUUUGUCAAAUAUGAAUUUCAUUCAUAGAUACGACGUCUGGGACAAAUCAGGCAUGCAAACUCCAGUUCUGAAAUGAAUAGAAAAGUAAAAUGCUCCUUUAUUAAUUAGAUAGAAAGGGGAUAAAUUAAGUCUAAGAGUAAUUUAAUCUUACCCUUGUGCAUCACUAGGGACAUUUUUGGCUUUUUAAUUUUUCAAUCAUUUUGGCACAUGCUGAUGGCAAAAACUUUGGCAAGGGUGUGAGGUUAUUUUUUCUCCGAAUUUUGGAAGUUCAACCUCAGCUCCUAUAAUAAGACUAUAAUACAGACACUCAGACCCUUAAGGACAAAAAUGUCCCUAUUGAAACCAAUUAAAACCACAAUGUGUGAUCCCACAGCCAUUACAGCAUAAAAUCUUGAAUAGGGCUGUCAAAGUUUACGCAAUAAUAACAUGUU
This is a long non-coding RNA of Sebastes umbrosus (honeycomb rockfish), 1270 nucleotides long. RefSeq lists it as uncharacterized. The record is from RefSeq and is a predicted model, not a curated record. Lineage: Eukaryota; Metazoa; Chordata; Actinopteri; Perciformes; Sebastidae. The transcript is spliced from 3 exons.